Molecule: ribosomal RNA, 200 nt
Filed under: uncultured bacterium
Lineage: Bacteria
Description: partial 16S ribosomal RNA
Rfam family: Bacterial small subunit ribosomal RNA
Source: RNAcentral
ACGCUCGACACCUACGGGGAGGCAGCAGGUGGGGAAUAUUGCACAAUGGAGGAAACUCUGAUGCAGCGAUGCCGCGUGAGGGAAGAAGGUUUUCGGAUUGUAAACCUCUGUCUUUGGGGACGAUAAUGACGGUACCCAAGGAGGAAGCUCCGGCUAACUACGUGACAGCAGCCGCGGUAAUCUGAGCGGGCUGGCAAGGC